AUUGAACGCUGGCGGCAUGCCUUACACAUGCAAGUCGAACGGUAACAGGUUAAGCUGACGAGUGGCGAACGGGUGAGUAAUGUAUCGGAACGUUCCCAGUCGUGGGGGAUAACUGCUCGAAAGAGCAGCUAAUACCGCAUACGACCUGAGGGUGAAAGCGGGGGAUCGCAAGACCUCGCGCGAUUGGAGCGGCCGAUAUCGGAUUAGGUAGUUGGUGAGGUAAAGGCUCACCAAGCCGACGAUCUGUAGCUGGUCUGAGAGGACGACCAGCCACACUGGGACUGAGACACGGCCCAGACUCCUACGGGAGGCAGCAGUGGGGAAUUUUGGACAAUGGGCGCAAGCCUGAUCCAGCCAUGCCGCGUGCGGGAAGAAGGCCUUCGGGUUGUAAACCGCUUUUGUCAGGGAAGAAAAGGUUCUGGCUAAUACCUGGGACUCAUGACGGUACCUGAAGAAUAAGCACCGGCUAACUACGUG
Molecule: ribosomal RNA, 477 nt
Filed under: uncultured bacterium
Lineage: Bacteria
Description: partial 16S ribosomal RNA
Rfam family: Bacterial small subunit ribosomal RNA
Source: RNAcentral